Molecule: non-coding RNA, 88 nt
Organism: Lactifluus volemus
Lineage: Eukaryota; Fungi; Basidiomycota; Agaricomycetes; Russulales; Russulaceae
Source: the annotation of a GenBank genome assembly
CCUUCGGUAGCUCAACUGAAAGAGCGUGGGACUAUAACAGAAUGUCUGCGAUAUCCCAAGGUUGCUGGUUCGAUUCCAGUCCCAAGGA